This 303-nucleotide ribosomal RNA is filed under the name Triticum aestivum (bread wheat). RNAcentral describes it as "partial small subunit ribosomal RNA". Lineage: Eukaryota; Viridiplantae; Streptophyta; Magnoliopsida; Poales; Poaceae. The record is from RNAcentral.
GUUCUCACGGCAAUCCCCACUUUUGCCCUGUCCGUGUUGCGAGCGCCGAAAAAAUUCUUCAAGGAAGUUGACAAAGCAAGGCGGCGCUUUCUCUGGGCACAGGAUGAUGACCUCGCCGGAGGAAAAUGCAAGGUCAACUGGACGACGGUUUGCUCGCCAACGGAAAAAGGGGGAUUGGGAAUCCACAACUUGAGCAAAUUCUCCAGAGCUCUCCGGUUGCGCUGGCUAUGGCUUGCCUGGCACCACCAAGAACGCCCGUGGGCAGGCACUGAGCUGCCAUGCGAUCAGCAAGACAUGGCUCUG